GACGUAGGAGGCGAGCGUUGUCCGGAUUCAUUGGGCGUAAAGAGCACGCAGGCGGUUUGGCAAGUCGGACGUGAAAAUCCGGGGCUCAACCCCGGACCUGCAUCCGAAACUGCCCGACUAGAGGUAGGUAGGGGAGAUCGGAAUUCCUGGUGUAGCGGUGAAAUGCGCAGAUAUCAGGAGGAACACCGGUGGCGAAGGCGGUUCUCUGGGAAUGACCUGACGCUGAGGAGCGAAAGUGUGGGGAGCGAACAGG
RNAcentral lists this ribosomal RNA (253 nucleotides) under uncultured bacterium. RNAcentral describes it as "partial 16S ribosomal RNA". It matches the Rfam family "Bacterial small subunit ribosomal RNA", at positions 524 to 776 of the family's 1533-position model. The record is from RNAcentral.